GGGCCUAUAGCUCAAUCGGUUAGAGCAGGGGACUCAUAAUCCCUUGGUUCCAGGUUCGAGUCCUGGUGGGCCCA
Molecule: transfer RNA, 74 nt
Filed under: Rhodanobacteraceae bacterium
Lineage: Bacteria; Pseudomonadati; Pseudomonadota; Gammaproteobacteria; Lysobacterales; Rhodanobacteraceae
Also listed under: 1 other name
Description: tRNA-Ile
Rfam family: tRNA
About the family: Transfer RNA (tRNA) molecules are approximately 80 nucleotides in length. Their secondary structure includes four short double-helical elements and three loops (D, anti-codon, and T loops).
Source: RNAcentral